CCUACGGGAGGCAGCAGUGGGGAAUAUUGCACAAUGGGGGAAACCCUGAUGCAGCAACGCCGCGUGAGUGAAGAAGUAUUUCGGUAUGUAAAGCUCUAUCAGCAGGGAAGAGAAUGAAGGUACCUGACUAAGAAGCCCCGGCUAACUACGGGCCAGCAGCCGCGGUAAUACGUAGGGGGCCAGCGUUAUCCGGAUUUACUGGGUGUAAAGGGAGCGUAGACGGGUGUAUAAGUCUGAAGUGAAAGCCCGUGGCUCAACCGAGGAACUGCAAUGGAAACUGUUAAGCUGGAGUGCUGGAGAGGCAGGCGGAAUUCCUAGUGUAGCGGUGAAAUGCGUAGAUAUUAGGAGGAACACCAGUGGCGAAGGCGGCCGGCUGGGCUAUAACUGACGCUGAGGCUCGAAAGUGUGGGGAGCAAACAGGAUUAGAUACCCUUGUAGUC
RNAcentral lists this ribosomal RNA (440 nucleotides) under uncultured bacterium. RNAcentral's name for it is "partial 16S ribosomal RNA". It matches the Rfam family "Bacterial small subunit ribosomal RNA", at positions 338 to 795 of the family's 1533-position model. The record is from RNAcentral.